RNAcentral lists this long non-coding RNA (409 nucleotides) under Chrysemys picta bellii (western painted turtle). RNAcentral describes it as "lncRNA (ENSCPBG00000015383.1)". The record is from RNAcentral. Lineage: Eukaryota; Metazoa; Chordata; Testudines; Emydidae.
CAAGACUUGUUUCUUUUCAGGAUCUACCUCCAGUCACCUGAUCACACUACCAGCUAGUUCUUCACUGUGUUUCUUGGCAGCCAGCAAGCAACCACAGAGAGCAAGAACCAGCAGGAGAAGUAACAACUUGGGAGAGAAAAGGGAGGGAGCAGAGCACAGACCUGUUUCUGGAACACACCGGAGGGAGUGCUUUACCUUACCUUGGAUACACCGACAGUACCACUGGAUGUCACUGUUGCUUCAUGAAAGUCAAAAGAUGUACCAGAAUACUGACAAAUCUUUUUAAAAAAACCCCAUGACUCUGACACAUCAAAACAGUGUGUGAGCUCCUCCUGGUGGUGCAGAAGUCUUGGAGAGUCAAACAGGAACAAGGAAUAAAAGGAGAAAAAUCAAGUGACUAUGUUGAAGC